This is a long non-coding RNA of Poecile atricapillus (Black-capped chickadee), 351 nucleotides long. RefSeq lists it as uncharacterized. The transcript has 4 exons. The record is from RefSeq and is a predicted model, not a curated record. NCBI's taxonomy places the organism in Eukaryota, Metazoa, Chordata, Aves, Passeriformes, Paridae.
CCAGGGUGUCCCCAAAGUGUCCCCAGGGUGUCCCCAGUGUCCCCAGGGUGUCCCCAGAGUGUCCCCAGAGUGUCCCCAGAGUGUCCCCAGCGUGUCCCCAGGGUGUCCCCAGUGUCCCCAGGGUGUCCCCAGAGUGUCCCCAGGGUGUCCCCAGUGUCCCCAGAGUGUCCCCAGAGUGUCCCCAGGGUGUCCCCAGGGUGUCCCCAGUGUCCCCAGAGUGUCCCCAGCGUGUCCCCAGAGUGUCCCCAGUGUCCCCAGUGUCCCCAGUGUCCCCAGGGUGUCCCCAGUGUCCCCAGAGUUGUCCCAGCGUGUCCCCAGCGUGUCCCCAGGGUGUCCCCAGGGUGUCCCCAG